Molecule: ribosomal RNA, 253 nt
Filed under: uncultured bacterium
Lineage: Bacteria
Description: partial 16S ribosomal RNA
Rfam family: Bacterial small subunit ribosomal RNA
Source: RNAcentral
UACGAAGGGUGCAAGCGUUACUCGGAAUUACUGGGCGUAAAGCGUGCGUAGGUGGUUUGUUAAGUCUGAUGUGAAAGCCCUGGGCUCAACCUGGGAAUUGCAUUGGAUACUGGCAGGCUAGAGUGCGGUAGAGGAUGGCGGAAUUCCCGGUGUAGCAGUGAAAUGCGUAGAGAUGUGGAGGAAUACCGAUGGCGAAGGCAGCCCCCUGGGCCAAUACUGACGCUCAUGCACGAAAGCGUGGGGAGCAAACAGG